This 224-nucleotide ribosomal RNA is filed under the name Giardia duodenalis. RNAcentral's name for it is "Giardia intestinalis partial 18S ribosomal RNA". Lineage: Eukaryota; Fornicata; Diplomonadida; Hexamitidae. The record is from RNAcentral.
ACGAAGCCAUGCAUGCCCGCUCACCCGGGACGCGGCGGACGGCUCAGGACAACGGUUGCACCCCCCGCGGCGGUCCCUGCUAGCCGGACACCGCUGGCAACCCGGCGCCAAGACGUGCGCGCAAGGGCGGGCGCCCGCGGGCGAGCAGCGUGACGCAGCGACGGCCCGCCCGGGCUUCCGGGGCAUCACCCGGUCGGCGCGGUCGCGGCGCGCCGAGGGCCCGA